Molecule: long non-coding RNA, 792 nt
Organism: Trichoplusia ni (cabbage looper)
Lineage: Eukaryota; Metazoa; Arthropoda; Insecta; Lepidoptera; Noctuidae
Exons: 3
Source: RefSeq, a predicted model, not a curated record
GCUAAGUGACAAUAUCGUUUUCAUACUGCUUUUAUCAAGAACUGUAAAAUAACCAUAAAGAACAUUUCUACUGAGAAACUACGAUAAAAAAUCCCAGCGAAACUCGAAAACAUUUAACUUCCAACUUUUUGCGGACUUACACUUCGUUUUUUUUGUACUUUUCACUCAGUUGCUAUUGACCAUAAUACAGUAGAGGCUUCUAAAAGUUUUCCGCUGCCUAACUUUAAAGUUGCGAAGUAUUUUAACUAUGUAUGGUAGUUGGAACGUCUUUAAGUAGUGCAAAAAAGGCGGAAGAUAUAUCAGUCUUGAAUGUAGACGCAAUAGAAUAUUGAUGAGGCUUACUCUCGGCCCGGCCGCGGUGCGGUGCGGUCUCUUUCGUUCUUAUGUACAUAUUUACGUAUUUUCUGUAAAUAAUGAGAUUCAACCGCAGCUGCUGCGACUAGAUACGAUCGGAAUAGUUUAAGAUACAAGCCAUCGAUUAGAUUUCAUUUCGUAUAAUUCUGCACUUUGUAGGUGGGAUAGUUUCUAGCUGUUUUUAAACUCGAUUGAAUACAGACGAAAUUAUAUUUAUAAGAUUCUGUCGUCAUUGUUUGUCUUAUAAAUUUGAAUGGAAUCUAUUUUGAUGUAUCUAUGCGACUUUUAGUAUUUUGUAAGAUUUUUUAUAUAAUUUCUAUGUUAUAUUUAUUUCGUUUGCAAAUAAGACAAGAAUGAACGUCUUAUAAUUAUUGAUCUGAAUCAAAGAUUACAUUAUUUACAAACAGUCAUGUCAAUCUAGGUCAAGUCAACAUUUAA